RNAcentral lists this long non-coding RNA (494 nucleotides) under Elaeis guineensis (African oil palm). RNAcentral's name for it is "long non-coding RNA (EGUI_LNC000240)". Lineage: Eukaryota; Viridiplantae; Streptophyta; Magnoliopsida; Arecales; Arecaceae. The record is from RNAcentral.
AUGACAAAGUACUUAAGUCUCUAUCAGCCAUUCGCCCACAUAUAUCUCAAAGUGCUCUAUACUCUAUGAUCCAUCGCUUGCAAAGAUUUUAAAGCUCUCAAUCCUUUAUCAUUAUUCAUGACUUGCACAAAAAUCUCAACUCACUCCUUUUAUCAUCCAUCUGUCUGUACAGAUCUCAAAGCACUUCACCUAUGACAUUCAUCUUCCUACAUAGAUCUUUAAGCACUUCAUCCUAUAUAAUUCAUCCACAUAUAUGGACUUCUAAGUGUUCUAUUCUUUGUCAUCUAUCUGCUUGCACAAAUCUUAAAAUGAUUCAUCCUCCAUUUUCUAUCCAUAUGCGUACGUAGAUCUCAAAGCACUCCCUUUAUUAUCUAUCUACCUACAUAGAUCUCAAAGUACUCUAUCCUUCAUCAUCCAUUUGUAUGCGUACAUUUUAAAAUGCUCCAUCGACUUUCAACCUAUCCACACAAAUUUUAAAGCACUCGAUUCUUUAC